RNAcentral lists this ribosomal RNA (344 nucleotides) under uncultured bacterium. RNAcentral describes it as "bacterial SSU rRNA". It matches the Rfam family "Bacterial small subunit ribosomal RNA", at positions 1158 to 1501 of the family's 1533-position model. The record is from RNAcentral.
ACAAACCGGAGGAAGGUGGGGAUGACGUCAAGUCCUCAUGGCCCUUAUGGGUAGGGCUUCACACGUCAUACAAUGGUCGGGACAGAGGGUCGCCAACCCGCGAGGGGGAGCCAAUCUCAGAAACCCGAUCGUAGUCCGGAUCGCAGUCUGCAACUCGACUGCGUGAAGUCGGAAUCGCUAGUAAUCGCGGAUCAGAAUGUCGCGGUGAAUACGUUCCCGGGUCUUGUACACACCGCCCGUCACACCAUGGGAGUGGGUUUCACCAGAAGUAGGUAGCCUAACCGCAAGGAGGGCGCUUACCACGGUGGGAUUCAUGACUGGGGUGAAGUCGUAACAAGGUAACC